Vombatus ursinus (common wombat) is the source of this 416-nucleotide long non-coding RNA. RefSeq lists it as uncharacterized. The transcript has 4 exons. NCBI's taxonomy places the organism in Eukaryota, Metazoa, Chordata, Mammalia, Diprotodontia, Vombatidae. The record is from RefSeq and is a predicted model, not a curated record.
UAGCAGUCCUGUCAGUUGGACCUUUUCACAGACUCUGACCUAAGGUUGGUAACAAAAUUAUAAGAUGGUGUAAGGAUGCUUGUAAAGAAAAAAUAUAAAUUGAAGAUGCAGACAGCAUGGAUGAGCCCUCUGAAAGUAUUCAUGGAACUGAAAUUAUCAGUGUUUUCAUCCUGAUAUGGAAAAUCUGCCUGGCAGUGGAGUUGAGACUUGGAUCUGGGAUUGCUUCCUCGGGGAGCUGACUCCCUUGAUAGAAGAGGAUCACAACAGUUGAUGUAGAGGUGGUAAAUGAGCCCAAUCAGAUCAAACCACCAAUCAAGAUCCCAAAUUUUAAGCAGGCCUUGCCUUCUUGCUCCCUCUUCUAUGUAGCCUGUGAGCUCUUAUUGGAGUACCCAUGUCAGUCCUCUAUCCUGGUUGUG